AUUGAACGCUGGCGGCAUGCUUUACACAUGCAAGUCGAACGGUAACAGGCCUUCGGGUGCUGACGAGUGGCGAACGGGUGCGUAAUGCAUCGGAACGUACCCAGAGGUGGGGGAUAACGCAGCGAAAGCUGUGCUAAUACCGCAUGUGAUCUGAGGAUGAAAGCGGGGGACCGAGCAGCAAUGUUUGGCCUCGCGCCUUUGGAGCGGCCGAUGUCGGAUUAGCUAGUUGGGGGGGUAAAGGCCUACCAAGGCGACGAUCCGUAGCUGGUCUGAGAGGACGACCAGCCACACUGGGACUGAGACACGGCCCAGACUCCUACGGGAGGCAGCAGUGGGGAAUUGUGGACAAUGGGCGCAAGCCUGAUCCAGCAAUGCCGCGUGCGGGAAGAAGGCCUUCGGGUUGUAAACCGCUUUUGGCAGGAACGAAACGGUGUCCGCUAAUACCGGGCGCUAAUGACGGUACCUGCAGAAUAAGCACCGGCUAACUACGUG
This 492-nucleotide ribosomal RNA is filed under the name uncultured bacterium. RNAcentral describes it as "partial 16S ribosomal RNA". It matches the Rfam family "Bacterial small subunit ribosomal RNA", at positions 29 to 507 of the family's 1533-position model. The record is from RNAcentral.